This 645-nucleotide ribosomal RNA is filed under the name Eudicella trilineata. RNAcentral's name for it is "LSU rRNA". It matches the Rfam family "Eukaryotic large subunit ribosomal RNA", at positions 663 to 1265 of the family's 3401-position model. Lineage: Eukaryota; Metazoa; Arthropoda; Insecta; Coleoptera; Scarabaeidae. The record is from RNAcentral.
GGACCAAGGAGUCUAGCAUGUGCGCGAGUCAUUGGGACUCUAACGAAACCUAAAGGCGUAAUGAAAGUGAAGGCCCGCCUAGCGCGGGCCGAGGGAGGAUGGGUGACCCCGAGGGGUCGCCUCGCACUCCCAGGGCGUCUCGUUCUCAUUGCGAGAAGAGGCGCACCAAGAGCGUACACGCUGGGACCCGAAAGAUGGUGAACUAUGCCUGGUCAGGACGAAGUCAGGGGAAACCCUGAUGGAGGUCCGUAGCGAUUCUGACGUGCAAAUCGAUCGUCGGAACUGGGUAUAGGGGCGAAAGACUAAUCGAACCAUCUAGUAGCUGGUUCCCUCCGAAGUUUCCCUCAGGAUAGCUGGCGCUCGCUUCUCGCGAGUCUCAUUCGGUAAAGCGAAUGAUUAGAGGCAUUGGGGUCGAAACGGCCUCAACCUAUUCUCAAACUUUAAAUGGGUGAGAUCUCCGGCUUGCUUGAACUGUGAAGCCGCGAGAUAUCGGAUCAGAGUGCCAAGUGGGCCACUUUUGGUAAGCAGAACUGGCGCUGUGGGAUGAACCAAACGCUGAGUUAAAGCGCCUAAAUCGACGCUUAUGGGAUACCAUGAAAGGCGUUGGUAACUUAAGACAGCAGGACGGUGGCCAUGGAAGUCGGA